Molecule: non-coding RNA, 1343 nt
Organism: Camellia sinensis
Lineage: Eukaryota; Viridiplantae; Streptophyta; Magnoliopsida; Ericales; Theaceae
Source: RefSeq, a predicted model, not a curated record
GCGAGUGCAUUGGAAACAAUGAUGACAGACAGCAACAAUCUAGGGAGGGGAAAAUGCAAGAAAAGAGGAUGCAGAGAGAACUAUAUAGGGUUUUAUCCCUUUAUUUAUUUAUUUAUUUUUGGGUCUCUACCUCUUUCUCCGUCCUCCAUGGCUUUGACGGUGGAUUACAUAUCAUCGACAAGAAUUGCCUGGACGACUGAUUCAUGACACCCAAAGGCUAACGGACCACUAUCAUUGAGUCGAAGAGACCAUCUUUCACAUGAAACAUCUCUACAAGCUUACCCCAUUUCUGUCUCGUCAGACCAUUGGAUCAGUACCAUCACGCCAUUUCCAUACAGGGGCUUCUAAUACAUUAAAAGGCAAGAAAUAAGGGAAAGCAAACAAAAAUGAGGUUGCUUCUGUUUCUAACUUUAACUAUCAACUAAAGUUAAUAGGGGUUUCUCUAAUUAACUUUAGUUCAUAAAUUUUAUUAUUUAAGUAGUGGUUAAUUUUUCCAUUGUGAUUCUGUGGGUGGUUUUCAUUCCAUUGUGAUUCAUGGUUCAUUAUCUUAUUAAUAAAUGUGAUUCAUGUUUCUAAUUUUUUUAUGAUUCAUGUUUCUUAUGUUUAUAAUUUUCUUAUGAUUUUGUGAGUGAAAGGGUGAUUAUUUGAUUCAUGGUGUUGGAAGGAAUACUUUUAUUUUGUUCAGGUGAUGCUAUUGAUGUUGUAAGGACUAUUUUUUAUUUUAGGUUACUCCACUCAAGAAAAACUUCCAAAAGUGAGGUAGUGGGAUUUAGACUGAAAUAACUAUAUAAAAAGACACCCAGAAGGAGAAGGAGAAGAAGAAGAAUUCGGUGUUAGACCAGAGUUUUUACAUUGAGAGUGAAGAAAAAGUUGAGUAGAAUGAAUUUAACAAAGGCCAAGAUGAUGGGAAUGAUUAAGAUUCUUCCAAUUAUUCAAAUGAAAACCAGCAGUAGAGCAAAACCAAUUCUCUCAACACGACAUGGCGUCAAAGUUACAGAACAUCCCUCCCAAGUUUCAUUCAAUGAUGUGAAAUCCAAGUCAACAGGUUGUGUGUUUGGAAAGUGGUUCUCGAAUUUGGGAGCUAGUAUUUCAGGACUAGCAAUUUAUCUUUCUGCUCUUGAGCAUGAGCUAGCAGCCAGAAAAUUUGUAGUCUUUGGUCUUUGGGUAUCGUCUAUGUCCAUGAGUUUCUAUCUAUGUUGUUUAAAAAAUUCAUUUUUUUUCUCUUUUUCUUUUUCCACUUGUGUUGACUUUUACCAUGUUAAAUUUGCUAUUUUGGUAUCUUCUAUUUCCAUGGAUUCGUAUUUCUUUGCUUUUAAGCUUUUGUUUGCAUGAAGCAUUUUUAA